GAAAUGCGAUAAGUAAUGUGAAUUGCAGAAUUCAGUGAAUCAUCGAAUCUUUGAACGCACAUUGCGCCCGCCAGUAUUCUGGCGGGCAUGCCUGUUCGAGCGUCAUUUCAACCAUCAAGCCCCGGGCUUGUGUUGGGGACCUGCGGCUGCCGCAGGCCCUAAAAAGCAGUGGCGGGCUCGCUGUCACACCGAGCGUAGUAGCAUACAUCUCGCUCUGGGCGUGCUGCGGGUUCCGGCCGUUAAACCACCUUCGUAACCCAAGGUUGACCUCGGAUCAGGUAGGAAGACCCGCUGAACUUAAGC
This 303-nucleotide unclassified non-coding RNA is filed under the name plant metagenome. RNAcentral describes it as "partial contains 5.8S ribosomal RNA, internal transcribed spacer 2, and large subunit ribosomal RNA". The stretch from base 1 to 105 matches the Rfam family "5.8S ribosomal RNA", at positions 50 to 154 of the family's 154-position model. The record is from RNAcentral.